ACGGAAGGCAGCAGUGAGGAAUAUUGGUCAAUGGGCGGAAGCCUGAACCAGCCAAGUCGCGUGAAGGAUGAAGGUAUUAUGUAUUGUAAACUUCUUUAGGCGCAGAGAAAUAAGCCCCACGCGUGGGGUGAUGCUAGUAUGCGCAGAAUAAGGAUCGGCUAACUCCGUGCCAGCAGCCGCGGUAAUACGGAGGAUCCGAGCGUUAUCCGGAUUUAUUGGGUUUAAAGGGUGCGCAGGCGGUCUUUUAAGUCAGUGGUCAAAUCGUGAGGCUCAACCUCAUCCCGCCAUUGAUACUGGGAGACUUGAUUGCGGUCGAGGUAGGCGGAAUUCGUCGUGUAGCGGUGAAAUGCAUAGAUAUGACGAAGAACACCGAUUGCGUAGGCAGCUUACCAGACCGUUAAUGACGCUCAUGCACGAAAGUGCGGGGAUCGAACAGGAUUAGAUACCCUGGUA
Molecule: ribosomal RNA, 453 nt
Filed under: uncultured Porphyromonadaceae bacterium
Lineage: Bacteria; Pseudomonadati; Bacteroidota; Bacteroidia; Bacteroidales; Porphyromonadaceae
Description: partial 16S ribosomal RNA
Rfam family: Bacterial small subunit ribosomal RNA
Source: RNAcentral